RNAcentral lists this long non-coding RNA (225 nucleotides) under Elaeis guineensis (African oil palm). RNAcentral describes it as "long non-coding RNA (EGUI_LNC030990)". Lineage: Eukaryota; Viridiplantae; Streptophyta; Magnoliopsida; Arecales; Arecaceae. The record is from RNAcentral.
GGACAAUUGGCAUCGGUUACUAUAACUACGAGAAGUAGAGACUAGAAGUGGACCGCAAAUGUCAGAGCAGAUAGGUAUUAUAUUUAAUAUAAAUAAAUAAAAUUAUACACUAUAAAGUAGAUAUUUAAUUUUAUUUUUAAAAUAUUUCAUUCUCAUUUUCAAUAUUUCAAUCAUUCAAUUCUCAAUAACUCAGCCAUCCAUUUUCUUCAAAUCUAAAAAGCAGAA